AUCGCUAUGCUCACCAAUGGCGUUGAUCCAGGCGGAUUUCAGUAUUUGGUAAAUGCAUGUGGCCGACGUUAUGCAUUGUCUCGUUCCUUUGAAUUAACUUUUCAGUCGGUUAUUCAAAAAUGUUGUGAAGUCAACAUGACUCUUGCAUAUUUUGACACAUUUGAAGAUUUUAAAUGUUUCCUAGCGGCCGAUACUGCUCUAGGCAUAUCUAAAUCGCCAGGUGGGUAUAUCAUAGCCGCGACCAACAUUGACUGUUCCCCUAUGCACGCGUGGUGCCCUGGGAAAAAUCCGGUUGAAAGAUUUCUGUGGAAAAGUCGGCCUUCCUUUGAUCCUCAAACUUAUCGAUGUGUUAAGGUUAUGAAGGACACGAGUGAUUCGACUUUAUUGAAGAUUGAGCUCGAGGAAGCACCUUGCUCAGGAAGCUCAUCAUAUAUUUGCGUGUCAAAGUAAACCACAACCACUGAAAAAUGAAAAAUUGUUUGGAAUUUGAAGUUUUAUGUUCACAACUCGAUUUUCUUGGCUGAUUUCAAGUUUGUAGCUGAUAAAAUAGGAAA
Molecule: long non-coding RNA, 554 nt
Organism: Neocloeon triangulifer
Lineage: Eukaryota; Metazoa; Arthropoda; Insecta; Ephemeroptera; Baetidae
Exons: 4
Source: RefSeq, a predicted model, not a curated record